Molecule: ribosomal RNA, 1200 nt
Filed under: uncultured bacterium
Lineage: Bacteria
Description: bacterial SSU rRNA
Rfam family: Bacterial small subunit ribosomal RNA
Source: RNAcentral
GAGGAAUACACGAGUAAUCUACCUCUAAGUCGGAGAUAGCCUUGCGAAAGUGAGGGUAAUACCCGAUGUGUCCAUUUGGCGCAGGCUGAAAUGGGUAAAGACGGUCCGCAAGGAUUGUUGUUUAGAGCUGAGCUCGUGUCCUAUCAGCUAGUUGGUAGGGUAAUGGCCUACCAAGGCUAUGACGGGUAGCUGGCCUGAGAGGGUGGUCAGCCACAUGGGGACUGAGACACUGCCCCAACUCCUACGGGAGGCUGCAGUCGAGGAUCUUUAGCAAUGGGCGCAAGCCUGACUAUGCGACGCCGCGUGAGGGAUGAAGGAUUUCGGUUCGUAAACCUCUUUCGAUGGGAAAGAAACUCUGCAUUAACUGUGCAGACUGACGGUACCCAGAGAAGAAGCCACGGCCAACUCCGUGCCAGCAGCCGCGGUAAUACGGGGGUGGCGAGCGUUACUCGGAUUUACUGGGCGUAAAGCGGGUGUAGGUGGUCUUUCAAGUCGGAUGUGAAAUUUCCCGGCUCAACUGGGAAGGGUCAUUCGAUACUGUUAGACUGGAGGGCAGUAGAGGGAGGUGGAAUUCCCGGUGUAGUGGUGAAAUGCGUAGAUAUCGGGAGGAACACCAGUGGCGAAAGCGGCCUCCUGGCCUGUACCUGACACUGAGGCCCUAAAGCGUGGGUAGCAAACAGGAUUAGAUACCCUGGUAGUCCACGCCUUAAACGAUGGAUACUAGGUAUGGGGGGUAUCGACCCCCUCCGUGCCAAAGUUAACACCUUAAGUAUCCCGCCUGGGGAGUACGGUCGCAAGACUAAAACUCAAAGGAAUUGACGGGGGCCCGCACAAGCAGCGGAGCGUGUGGUUUAAUUCGAUGCAACACGAAGAACCUCACCCAGGCUUGACAUGACGGAAGUAGUGAACCGAAAGGGGAACUAACUGUUAAGUCAGUAGCCGCCACAGGUGCUGCAUGGUUGUCGUCAGCUCGUGCCGUGAGGUGUUGGGUUAAGUCCCGCAACGAGCGCAACCCUCGUUGCCAGUUGUUUUCUCUGGCGAGACUGCCCCGCAAGACGGGGAGGAAGGUGGGGAUGACGUCAAAUCAGCACGGCCCUUAUGCCUGGGGCUACACACACGCUACAAUGGGCGCUACAGUUGGUUGCAAUGGAGUGAUUCGGAGCUAAUCCUAAAAACCGUCCCCAGUUCAGAUUGUAGGCU